Molecule: ribosomal RNA, 460 nt
Filed under: uncultured bacterium
Lineage: Bacteria
Description: partial 16S ribosomal RNA
Rfam family: Bacterial small subunit ribosomal RNA
Source: RNAcentral
CCUACGGGGGGCAGCAGUGAGGAAUAUUGGUCAAUGGUCGGGAGCCUGAACCAGCCAAGCCGCGUGAGGGAUGAAGGUACAGAGUAUCGUAAACCUCUUUUGUCAGGGAAUAAAGGCGGGGACGUGUCCCGGGAUGAGUGUACCUGAAGAAAAGGCAUCGGCUAACUCCGUGCCAGCAGCCGCGGUAAUACGGAGGAUGCGAGCGUUAUCCGGAUUUAUUGGGUUUAAAGGGUGCGGAGGUGGUCUUUUAAGUAAGCGGUGAAAGCCCGGGGCUCAACCCCGGCCGUGCCGUGGAAACUGGAAGGCGCGAGUUGGAGAGAGGUAGGCGGAAUGCGCGGUGUAGCGGUGAAAUGCUUAGAUAUCGCGCAGAACUCCGAUUGCGAAGGCAGCAUGCCGGCUCCAGACUGACGCUGAGGCACGAAAGCGUGGGUAUCGAACAGGAUUAGAUACCCCAGUAGUC